CAUGCCGUAAACGAUGAGUGCUAGGUGUUGGAGGGUUUCCGCCCUUCAGUGCCGCAGCUAACGCAUUAAGCACUCCGCCUGGGGAGUACGACCGCAAGGUUGAAACUCAAAGGAAUUGACGGGGGCCCGCACAAGCGGUGGAGCAUGUGGUUUAAUUCGAAGCUACGCGAAGAACCUUACCAGGUCUUGACAUCUUGCGCUAACCUAAGAGAUUAGGCGUUCCCUUCGGGGACGCAAUGACAGGUGG
This 247-nucleotide ribosomal RNA is filed under the name uncultured Lactobacillus sp. RNAcentral describes it as "partial 16S ribosomal RNA". It matches the Rfam family "Bacterial small subunit ribosomal RNA", at positions 796 to 1041 of the family's 1533-position model. The record is from RNAcentral. Lineage: Bacteria; Bacillati; Bacillota; Bacilli; Lactobacillales; Lactobacillaceae.